UACGGAGGGAGCUAGCGUUGUUCGGAAUUACUGGGCGUAAAGCGCACGUAGGCGGUCUUUUAAGUCAGGGGUGAAAUCCCGGGGCUCAACCCCGGAACUGCCCUUGAAACUGGGAGACUAGAAUACUGGAGAGGUGAGUGGAAUUCCGAGUGUAGAGGUGAAAUUCGUAGAUAUUCGGAAGAACACCAGUGGCGAAGGCGACUCACUGGACAGUUAUUGACGCUGAGGUGCGAAAGCGUGUGGAGCAAACAGG
RNAcentral lists this ribosomal RNA (253 nucleotides) under uncultured bacterium. RNAcentral describes it as "partial 16S ribosomal RNA". It matches the Rfam family "Bacterial small subunit ribosomal RNA", at positions 524 to 776 of the family's 1533-position model. The record is from RNAcentral.